This 333-nucleotide long non-coding RNA is filed under the name Lathyrus oleraceus (garden pea). RNAcentral describes it as "Pisum sativum (pea) long non-coding RNA (PSAT_LNC026855)". The record is from RNAcentral. Lineage: Eukaryota; Viridiplantae; Streptophyta; Magnoliopsida; Fabales; Fabaceae.
ACAAACUACUGUAUUGUAGUUACUAGCUAUUUUAUUAACAAUUCAUUUAAUGUUUAGUAUAUUUUUAUGAUGUUAGUAAUUUAUUUAGAAAAUGAAAUUCAAUAUAAUCAAGUUAUUUUACUCUCAUAUGAGAAAGUGAAAUAUGUGGCUACUAUUUGCUUGUAUGGGUAGAAUGUUUUUAUGAUGUUAGUAAUUUAUUGAGAUUUGUUUUUGGAUAGACAAUAAAAAUAUGGAUCAUCUCAUCAUUUCCUUUUUUUCCAUUAAAAAAUAAAAAUUCUAUUAUUCGAUUUGAGUCUACCACCAAUACGUGGAUCUUGAUUGUAGAUAUGAAAU